This 302-nucleotide ribosomal RNA is filed under the name uncultured Desulfobulbus sp. RNAcentral's name for it is "bacterial SSU rRNA". It matches the Rfam family "Bacterial small subunit ribosomal RNA", at positions 1080 to 1382 of the family's 1533-position model. The record is from RNAcentral. Lineage: Bacteria; Pseudomonadati; Thermodesulfobacteriota; Desulfobulbia; Desulfobulbales; Desulfobulbaceae.
UUAAGUCCCGCAACGAGCGCAACCCUUGCCUUUAGUUGCCAGCAGUUCGGCUGGGCACUCUAAAGGGACUGCCGGUGUUAAACCGGAGGAAGGUGGGGAUGACGUCAAGUCCUCAUGGCCUUUAUGACCAGGGCUACACACGUACUACAAUGGCCGAUACAAAGGGCAGCGACACUGCGAGGUGAAGCCAAUCCCGUAAAAUCGGUCUCAGUCCGGAUUGGAGUCUGCAACUCGACUCCAUGAAGUUGGAAUCGCUAGUAAUCGUGGAUCAGCAUGCCACGGUGAAUACGUUCCCGGGCCUU